UAACCUGCCCAAGAGACUGGGAUAACACCUGGAAACAGAUGCUAAUACCGGAUAACAACACUAGACGCAUGUCUAGAGUUUAAAAGAUGGUUCUGCUAUCACUCUUGGAUGGACCUGCGGUGCAUUAGCUAGUUGGUAAGGCAACGGCUUACCAAGGCAAUGAUGCAUAGCCGAGUUGAGAGACUGAUCGGCCACAUUGGGACUGAGACACGGCCCAAACUCCUACGGGAGGCAGCAGC
This 239-nucleotide ribosomal RNA is filed under the name uncultured bacterium. Its description in RNAcentral is "partial 16S ribosomal RNA". It matches the Rfam family "Bacterial small subunit ribosomal RNA", at positions 122 to 355 of the family's 1533-position model. The record is from RNAcentral.